UAGGGAAUCUUCCACAAUGGACGCAAGUCUGAUGGAGCAACGCCGCGUGAGUGAAGAAGGUUUUCGGACCGUAAAGCUCUGUUGUUGGUGAAGAAGGAUAGAGGUAGUAACUGGCCUUUAUUUGACGGUAAUCAACCAGAAAGUCACGGCUAACUACGUGCCAGCAGCCGCGGUAAUACGUAGGUGGCAAGCGUUGUCCGGAUUUAUUGGGCGUAAAGCGAGCGCAGGCGGAAGAAUAAGUCUGAUGUGAAAGCCCUCGGCUUAACCGAGGAAUUGCAUCGGAAACUGUUUUCUUGAGUGCAGAAGAGGAGAGUAGAACUCCAUGUGUAGCGGUGGAAUGCGUAGACAUAUGGAAGAAUACCAGUGGCGAAGGCGGCUCUCUGGUCUGCAACUGACGCUGAGGCUCGAAAGCAUGGGUAGCGAACAGGAUUAGAUACCCUGGUAGUCCAUGCCGUAAACGAUGAGUGCUAAGUGUUGGGAGGCUUCCGCCUCUCAGUGCUGCAGCUAACGCAUUAAGCACUCCGCCUGGGGGAGUACGACCGCAAGGUUGAAAC
This 554-nucleotide ribosomal RNA is filed under the name uncultured bacterium. RNAcentral describes it as "partial 16S ribosomal RNA". It matches the Rfam family "Bacterial small subunit ribosomal RNA", at positions 355 to 900 of the family's 1533-position model. The record is from RNAcentral.